GGGAUUGCCCUAGUAACGGCGAGUGAAGCGGCAACAGCUCAAAUUUGAAAUCUGGCGUCAGCCCGAGUUGUAAUUUGUAGAGGAUGCUUCUGGGUAGCGGCCGGUCUAAGUUCCUUGGAACAGGACGUCAUAGAGGGUGAGAAUCCCGUAUGUGACUGGCUUGCACCCUCCACGUAGCUCCUUCGACGAGUCGAGUUGUUUGGGAAUGCAGCUCUAAAUGGGAGGUAAAUUUCUUCUAAAGCUAAAUACCGGCCAGAGACCGAUAGCGCACAAGUAGAGUGAUCGAAAGAUGAAAAGCACUUUGGAAAGAGAGUUAAAAAGCACGUGAAAUUGUUGAAAGGGAAGCGCCCGCAACCAGACUUUGCGGCGGUGUUCGGCUGGUCUUCUGACCGGUUUACUCGCCGCCGUGAGGCCAUCAUCGUCUGGGACCGCUGGAUAAGACCGGAGGAAUGUAGCUCCCUUCGGGGUGUGUUAUAGCCUCUGGUGAUGCAGCGCGUCUCGGGCGAGGUCCGCGCCUCGGCAAGGAUGAUGGCGUAAUGGUUGUCGGCGGCCCGUCUUGAAACACGGACCAAGGAGUCUAACAUCUAUGCGAGUGUUCGGGUGUCAAACCCCUACGCGUAAUGAAAGUGAACGGAGGUGGGAACUUUUUGUGCACCAUCGACCGAUCCUGAUGUCCUCGGAUGGAUUUGAGUAAGAGCAUAGCUGUUGGGACCCGAAAGAUGGUGAACUAUGCCUGAAUAGGGUGAAGCCAGAGGAAACUCUGGUGGAGGCUCGCAGCGGUUCUGACGUGCAAAUCGAUCGUCAAAUUUGGGUAUAGGGGCG
RNAcentral lists this ribosomal RNA (822 nucleotides) under Pseudocercospora rhoina. RNAcentral describes it as "eukaryotic LSU rRNA". It matches the Rfam family "Eukaryotic large subunit ribosomal RNA", at positions 71 to 925 of the family's 3401-position model. The record is from RNAcentral. Lineage: Eukaryota; Fungi; Ascomycota; Dothideomycetes; Mycosphaerellales; Mycosphaerellaceae.